This 31-nucleotide non-coding RNA is filed under the name Mus musculus (house mouse). The record is from RNAcentral. Lineage: Eukaryota; Metazoa; Chordata; Mammalia; Rodentia; Muridae.
UGGAUACCUCCUAAGUGCCAAAUUGUAUAGU